CAACUGAUGUAAUAGGUCCCAUGGGCCAUGGCCUGCCACUUUGAGCUAGGAAAAGCCUAGAGGAUGGGGCAUCUAGGAAGGACCCAUACUUUGGACUUGGGGCUGAACAAUGAAGUCAGAGUCAAUUUAUCCAGUACUCAUGUUCUGUAGAGUGGCCUUCCAGAGAUGGGGCUGGCCUCGGCAGCAUUUGAUGAUCAUGAGGAUCUAGCCUCUGCUGCCACUGGCCCACCUAUGGUAUACAGGGAGUGCAUGCCACUGUACACGUGGAAGGUCAGCAGACAACAUGCAGGAACAAGUGCUCUACCUCUCCUAUGCGUGUCUUGGGGAACUGAACUCAGGAUGGACAAUGACAAGACUAUGUCUGUCUCCAUGUGGGCUCUCUGAACUUACACAUACUCCAAUAAAUUAUGGAAUUAUACAGCA
Molecule: long non-coding RNA, 423 nt
Organism: Mastomys coucha (southern multimammate mouse)
Lineage: Eukaryota; Metazoa; Chordata; Mammalia; Rodentia; Muridae
Exons: 3
Source: RefSeq, a predicted model, not a curated record